AUAACAGUGUGCUCAGUUUAAACUGUGAAACAAAGACAAGAACAGCUGCCAUCAUUUUAAGAUAACUGAAGUUAGAAAUGUGAUAAUGGUUGUUUUAAAAUCUUUACCUCUGCAAUUACCUAUAAGGCCUUUUAAGAUCCUGUAAUGAUCUGCCUACCCACACCACUUCUUAAACCUCUCUGGCCUUGUUUUUUAUUACUCUUUCUCUUAGUCACCUUGCUCUAUCCAUACUGACCAUCCUCUUUUUGUUUGUGCUGUCAGCAGCAUCUUCCAUGAAUGUCCCUUAGAUGUCCUCAUGUUUUAGUUUCCUCUUCACAAGCACUUUUCUGCUCUUCUCUGCUUUAUUUUUCACUUUUCAACAUU
Molecule: long non-coding RNA, 363 nt
Filed under: Homo sapiens (human)
Lineage: Eukaryota; Metazoa; Chordata; Mammalia; Primates; Hominidae
Description: HSALNT0073566
Source: RNAcentral